This 374-nucleotide long non-coding RNA is filed under the name Elaeis guineensis (African oil palm). RNAcentral describes it as "long non-coding RNA (EGUI_LNC082865)". The record is from RNAcentral. Lineage: Eukaryota; Viridiplantae; Streptophyta; Magnoliopsida; Arecales; Arecaceae.
AACCUCAAAGAUGAGACUAUUCUUAGACAGCCAAAUUUGAUAGACAAUGUACACCAAUCGACAGGCUCUAGACGGCCCCUCACCUGCACUCCAAUGGAUAGCAUCUAGAAAGGGAGGGAGCCAAGGGCCACUGCUCGCUCCCUACAGCUAGCCACCUGCCAUCCUCCAAAUAAGAUUAGCUCUCGAGUAGCGAAGGAGUGCAUGCUCCGUGGACUCCUCCUCCAAGCCGCAAACCAAGCAAGUAGUCGGAACCUCCAUACCUCUGCCUCUGAGAAGAAUGCGUAUCAAAAGCCUGUCCUAAGUGACCUUUCAAAGGAAGAGUCUAACCCUGGGAUGAGCAUCAACUCUCCAAAUACAUGCCGCAUCAAUUCUCC